CACAGGGAAAGGGACAUUCAAAACAGGAACAUUCACAUUACAAAUGUUAUCACUGCGGAGCUGCUACACAUGUUGCAACUGCAUGCAGAUUCAAGGAUGCCAAGUGUCAUGCUUGUGGUAAAAUGGGUCACCUACAAAAAGUGUGUAAAUCCACAGCAGAUAGAGGCAGUAAUCGCUUGAGAGACAGAGCAAAGAAUACCUUUAGAGUACAAAC
This is a non-coding RNA of Pelobates cultripes (western spadefoot toad), 214 nucleotides long. Lineage: Eukaryota; Metazoa; Chordata; Amphibia; Anura; Pelobatidae. The record is from the annotation of a GenBank genome assembly.